AUGGUUUCAGCAAUUUUCUUCGCCUUGACAUUCCUGGGUUUAAUCCAUAGCCCACAGAAAGUCGGCGAUGAACUAGAUGCAGCUGCAAAUGCGUGCACGCAGCAGCGUGCAGAGGAGUUGCAAGCGCGCAUGAUGCAGCUGCUGCUAGAGAUGGAGCAGACGGACCAGGAGCACAGCUGGGCACAUGUGGGAGCCCUGCUCCUAUCUGUGCUGCAGCACUGGCAGUUCUGGGCCCUGACCGGAGAGCUUUUCCUGUUCUUUAUGCUCUGCCACAUGCUCAUGAAAUUGUGCCAUAAGCUGGGCAGCAGAAAUGAGAAGGGCAUCUCAGUUGUGAAAUCUUCAACGCUUGUUCUCAUGGGGGACUUCAACUUCCCUGACGUAUCCUGGAAGCACAACACAGCCCAGAGAAAGCAGUCUAGGAGGUUUCUGGAGAGCGUGGCAGAUAGCUUCCUGAUGCAGCUGAUUAGUGAACCUACCAGGGGUGGCGCCCUGCUAGACCUUCUCUUCACAAACAGAGAAGGACUGGUGGAGGAUGUGAUUGUUGGGAGCUGUCUUGAGCAGAGUGACCACGAAAUGGUGGAGUUCUCUAUUCUUGGCGAGGUCAGGAAGGGGACCAGUAAAACCACUGUAUUAGACUUCCGGAAGGCUGACUUUGAGCUGCUCAGGACACUGGUUGGUAGAGUCCCAUGGGAGGCGGUUCUGAAGGGCAGAGGAGUCCAGGAAGGUUGGGCGCUCUUCAAGAGGGAAAUCUUAAUGGCGCAGGAGUGGUCUGUCCCCACGUGCCCAAAGGCGAGCUGGCGGGGAAGAAGACCAGCCUGGCUCAACAGAGAAUUGUGGCUUGAGCUUAGGAGAAAAAAAGGGUUUAUAAUCUUUGGAAAAGUGGGCAGGCCACUGAGGAGGACUAUAAGGAUGUUGCAAGGCUGUGCAGGGACAAAAUUAGAAAGGCCAAAGCUCAUCUGGAGCUCAAUCUGGCUACUGCCGUUAAACAUAACAAAAAACGCUUUUAUAAAUACAUCAACACAAAAAGGAGGACUAAGGAGAAUCUCCAUCCUUUACUGGAUGCGGGGGGAAACGUAG
This 1077-nucleotide long non-coding RNA is filed under the name Anas platyrhynchos platyrhynchos (common mallard). RNAcentral describes it as "lncRNA (ENSAPLG00000030138.1)". The record is from RNAcentral. Lineage: Eukaryota; Metazoa; Chordata; Aves; Anseriformes; Anatidae.